Tympanuchus pallidicinctus (lesser prairie-chicken) is the source of this 1485-nucleotide long non-coding RNA. RefSeq lists it as uncharacterized. The transcript has 2 exons. NCBI's taxonomy places the organism in Eukaryota, Metazoa, Chordata, Aves, Galliformes, Phasianidae. The record is from RefSeq and is a predicted model, not a curated record.
UUAAAUCAGCUUGACCUGUAUGAAGACAAAAAUCUGAUUUCAGCAGUGUUUUCAGUGAUCUUCUUGUUUCCUGCGUGCUCAUUGCAAAACUACUGCAGUAGCCUUGGGACUCUUGGCUGGUAGCUGGGCUACGUAUGUAUAUACUACCUGCUUUUGCACCACAGUCAGCCUUCUCUGCCCCAGCAAGCAGCCUUGGUUUGAUCUGAACUGAGCUGCUACAACCACCCCUGCCUGUGUGCUGGCAGCCUCCAGCACCUGGGCCAUCAGCCCAGCCUGAGUUCAUCGCGAUAAGGGCAUGCGGCAUAGCUGGAAGCUGCAGAGAUCGCCAGAACCCGUCCCUGCUGCAGGCGAGCGUUUCUGGAGGAUAUGCUGAGCUUGGGAGUGCAGGAAAUCUCCUUCUAGGAAUACCCAGAAGAUCACUGCGAUAGCACUCCAGCAGACAGAGUACAUGUGCUCUUCUCAUCUGGGACACAGGGGAUCAAGACAGCUUGUUGACCAGGAACCACUCACCUGACUGCCAUUAUCCUAAAGCUUGAAGCUUUGCAGGAAUCCAAGAACUGCCAACAUGCCUUUCAUGUCUCAUAAUGAUUACUGCAACAGACCUCUUAAGAAAUGAACAUAGAACACCUAUGCUUGCUACAUAAAAGGGGGAAGGUUGGAGAAGAAAAUAAUUCAGAAAAACAGAAGGAAAAAGUUGUUCUCCUUGGCUAUUGAAGUUUUUCCUUCCUGCUGCUUUCUGUAAAAGCAGAAGGACUGACUGAAUGGAAAUCACACGAAGAAGUCUCCAGAUUUUUUUUUAAUCACUGCGUAGCCUACGCAUCCUCUUCCCUCCUCUCUCCCUAAGGUGAAUAUGACACAACCAGAAAAUCCAGCAGAUGAGUACUCAAGCACAGUAAGAAAGUCUGUCCAGGCUGCAGCCUCGCUAUCUGCUCUGCUAAAGCUUUAUGCCUUCUCUUAAUGGCUUUACGCCCUCUCCUAAAACAGCCUGCAUCUCUUUUGUGUGUACCUUGUAUGCUUUGGGAACAAUUACCUUUCAAGAAGAUCAAAAGGACACCUCUAAUAUCAGCCACUUGCAUUGCAAUAUUACCAAUUCAUACAUUUGUUUCCGUGUUUAAAUGACUACUUUCACAAUUUGGUUCCGCGCUUUGUUCAUACUGAGUUAUCUCAACCCACAAUAUUGUUAUUGCAAACGUCUGUUGAAAGAUUUAAAUGAACAAUUGAGGAAGCAGAAAACCACAGCUGGUCCUAUCGCUUGGACACUUUAAUCUACUUGUAUUUGAUUUUCUUCUCUAAACACAUCACUGUUGUGUUGAUGCUUCUUCUAAGGAUUAAUUAGCAAAGCAAUUAACAUGUUUUAACCUUUCUGUUUACUUACCCAUCCCUAAGGACAUACGUACCUUGGUCAGUUUGUGCUUCAAAAUUACACUUUUUGAUGUUGUUUUGUCAAGGUCAGAUUAAUUAAAUACUGCUUUACAUACAGCCAAA